GGGGCUGUGGCACAGUGGUUUGAGCCAUGGCCUGUGGUGCCAUCGUUCCAUUUGGGCUCAGGUUUGAGUCCUGGCUGGUCCG
Molecule: transfer RNA, 82 nt
Filed under: Oryctolagus cuniculus (rabbit)
Lineage: Eukaryota; Metazoa; Chordata; Mammalia; Lagomorpha; Leporidae
Rfam family: tRNA
About the family: Transfer RNA (tRNA) molecules are approximately 80 nucleotides in length.
Source: Rfam by way of RNAcentral